This 503-nucleotide ribosomal RNA is filed under the name uncultured beta proteobacterium. RNAcentral's name for it is "bacterial SSU rRNA". It matches the Rfam family "Bacterial small subunit ribosomal RNA", at positions 903 to 1382 of the family's 1533-position model. The record is from RNAcentral. Lineage: Bacteria; Pseudomonadati; Pseudomonadota; Betaproteobacteria.
GCGCCUUGCCAGCCCGCUCAGAAACUCAAAGGAAUUGACGGGGACCCGCACAAGCGGUGGAUGAUGUGGAUUAAUUCGAUGCAACGCGAACAACCUUACCUACCCUUGACAUGUCCGGAACCCUGCUGAAAGGCGGGGGUGCCCGAAAGGGAAUCGGAACACAGGUGCUGCAUGGCUGUCGUCAGCUCGUGUCGUGAGAUGUUGGGUUAAGUCCCGCAACGAGCGCAACCCUUGUCCUUAGUUGCUACGCAAGGGCACUCUAAGGAGACUGCCGGUGACAAACCGGAGGAAGGUGGGGAUGACGUCAAGUCCUCAUGGCCCUUAUGGGUAGGGCUUCACACGUCAUACAAUGGCUGGUACAAAGGGUUGCCAACCCGCGAGGGGGAGCUAAUCCCACAAAGCCAGUCGUAGUCCGGAUCGCAGUCUGCAACUCGACUGCGUGAAGCUGGAGUUGCUAGUAAACGCGCGUCAGCUAUAGUGCGUUGAAUACGUUCUCGGGCCUU